CUGGCGGCGUGCUUAACACAUGCAAGUCGAACGGAAAGGCCCUGCUUUUGUGGGGUGCUCGAGUGGCGAACGGGUGAGUAACACGUGAGUAACCUGCCCUUGACUUUGGGAUAACUUCAGGAAACUGGGGCUAAUACCGGAUAGGAGCUCCUGCUGCAUGGUGGGGGUUGGAAAGUUUCGGCGGUUGGGGAUGGACUCGCGGCUUAUCAGCUUGUUGGUGGGGUAGUGGCUUACCAAGGCUUUGACGGGUAGCCGGCCUGAGAGGGUGACCGACCACAUUGGGACUGAGAUACGGCCCAGACUCCUACGGGAGGCAGCAGUGGGGAAUAUUGCACAAUGGGCGGAAGCCUGAUGCAGCAACGCCGCGUGCGGGAUGACGGCCUUCGGGUUGUAAACCGCUUUCGCCUGUGACGAAGCGUGAGUGACGGUAAUGGGUAAAGAAGCACCGGCUAACUACGUGCCAGCAGCCGCGGUGAUACGUAGGGUGCGAGCGUUGUCCGGAUUUAUUGGGCGUAAAGGGCUCGUAGGUGGUUGAUCGCGUCGGAAGUGUAAUCUUGGGGCUUAACCCUGAGCGUGCUUUCGAUACGGGUUGACUUGAGGAAGGUAGGGGAGAAUGGAAUUCCUGGUAGAGCGGUGGAAUGCGCAGAUAUCAGGAGGAACACCAGUGGCGAAGGCGGUUCUCUGGGCCUUUCCUGACGCUGAGGAGCGAAAGCGUGGGGAGCGAACAGGCUUAGAUACCCUGGUAGUCCACGCUGUAAACGGUGGGUACUAGGUGUGGGGUCCAUUCCACGGGUUCCGUGCCGUAGCUAACGCUUUAAGUACCCCGCCUGGGGAGUACGGCCGCAAGGCUAAAACUCAAAGGAAUUGACGGGGCCCCGCACAAGCGGCGGAGCAUGCGGAUUAAUUCGAUGCAACGCGUAGAACCUUACCUGGGUUUGACAUGGAUCGGGAGUGCUCAGAGAUGGGUGUGCCUCUUUUGGGGUCGGUUCACAGGUGGUGCAUGGCUGUCGUCAGCUCGUGUCGUGAGAUGUUGGGUUAAGUCCCGCAACGAGCGCAACCCUUGUUCACUGUUGCCAGCACGUUAUGGUGGGGACUCAGUGGAGACCGCCGGGGUCAACUCGGAGGAAGGUGGGGAUGACGUCAAGUCAUCAUGCCCCUUAUGUCCAGGGCUUCACGCAUGCUACAAUGGCUGGUACAGAGAGUGGCGAGCCUGUGAGGGUGAGCGAAUCUCGGAAAGCCGGUCUCAGUUCGGAUUGGGGUCUGCAACUCGACCUCAUGAAGUCGGAGUCGCUAGUAAUCGCAGAUCAGCAACGCUGCGGUGAAUACGUUCCCGGGGCUUGUACACACCGCCCGUCAAGUCAUGAAAGUUGGUAACACCCGAAGCCGGUGGCCUAACCGUUGUGGGGGAGCCGUCGAAGGUGGGACUGGUGAUU
This 1433-nucleotide ribosomal RNA is filed under the name uncultured organism. Its description in RNAcentral is "16S ribosomal RNA". It matches the Rfam family "Bacterial small subunit ribosomal RNA". The record is from RNAcentral.